This 1440-nucleotide ribosomal RNA is filed under the name Lactiplantibacillus pentosus. RNAcentral's name for it is "bacterial SSU rRNA". It matches the Rfam family "Bacterial small subunit ribosomal RNA". RNAcentral also lists the same sequence under 1 other name. Lineage: Bacteria; Bacillati; Bacillota; Bacilli; Lactobacillales; Lactobacillaceae. The record is from RNAcentral.
ACAUGCAAGUCGAACGAACUCUGGUAUUGAUUGGUGCUUGCAUCAUGAUUUACAUUUGAGUGAGUGGCGAACUGGUGAGUAACACGUGGGAAACCUGCCCAGAAGCGGGGGAUAACACCUGGAAACAGAUGCUAAUACCGCAUAACAACUUGGACCGCAUGGUCCGAGUUUGAAAGAUGGCUUCGGCUAUCACUUUUGGAUGGUCCCGCGGCGUAUUAGCUAGAUGGUGGGGUAACGGCUCACCAUGGCAAUGAUACGUAGCCGACCUGAGAGGGUAAUCGGCCACAUUGGGACUGAGACACGGCCCAAACUCCUACGGGAGGCAGCAGUAGGGAAUCUUCCACAAUGGACGAAAGUCUGAUGGAGCAACGCCGCGUGAGUGAAGAAGGGUUUCGGCUCGUAAAACUCUGUUGUUAAAGAAGAACAUAUCUGAGAGUAACUGUUCAGGUAUUGACGGUAUUUAACCAGAAAGCCACGGCUAACUACGUGCCAGCAGCCGCGGUAAUACGUAGGUGGCAAGCGUUGUCCGGAUUUAUUGGGCGUAAAGCGAGCGCAGGCGGUUUUUUAAGUCUGAUGUGAAAGCCUUCGGCUCAACCGAAGAAGUGCAUCGGAAACUGGGAAACUUGAGUGCAGAAGAGGACAGUGGAACUCCAUGUGUAGCGGUGAAAUGCGUAGAUAUAUGGAAGAACACCAGUGGCGAAGGCGGCUGUCUGGUCUGUAACUGACGCUGAGGCUCGAAAGUAUGGGUAGCAAACAGGAUUAGAUACCCUGGUAGUCCAUACCGUAAACGAUGAAUGCUAAGUGUUGGAGGGUUUCCGCCCUUCAGUGCUGCAGCUAACGCAUUAAGCAUUCCGCCUGGGGAGUACGGCCGCAAGGCUGAAACUCAAAGGAAUUGACGGGGGCCCGCACAAGCGGUGGAGCAUGUGGUUUAAUUCGAAGCUACGCGAAGAACCUUACCAGGUCUUGACAUACUAUGCAAAUCUAAGAGAUUAGACGUUCCCUUCGGGGACAUGGAUACAGGUGGUGCAUGGUUGUCGUCAGCUCGUGUCGUGAGAUGUUGGGUUAAGUCCCGCAACGAGCGCAACCCUUAUUAUCAGUUGCCAGCAUUAAGUUGGGCACUCUGGUGAGACUGCCGGUGACAAACCGGAGGAAGGUGGGGAUGACGUCAAAUCAUCAUGCCCCUUAUGACCUGGGCUACACACGUGCUACAAUGGAUGGUACAACGAGUUGCGAACUCGCGAGAGUAAGCUAAUCUCUUAAAGCCAUUCUCAGUUCGGAUUGUAGGCUGCAACUCGCCUACAUGAAGUCGGAAUCGCUAGUAAUCGCGGAUCAGCAUGCCGCGGUGAAUACGUUCCCGGGCCUUGUACACACCGCCCGUCACACCAUGAGAGUUUGUAACACCCAAAGUCGGUGGGGUAACCUUUUAGGAACCAGCCGCCU